GAUGAACGCUGGCGGCGUGCCUAAUACAUGCAAGUCGAGCGAACAGACGAGGAGCUUGCUCCUCUGACGUUAGCGGCGGACGGGUGAGUAACACGUGGAUAACCUACCUAUAAGACUGGGAUAACUUCGGGAAACCGGAGCUAAUACCGGAUAAUAUAUUGAACCGCAUGGUUCAAUAGUGAAAGACGGUUUUGCUGUCACUUAUAGAUGGAUCCGCGCCGCAUUAGCUAGUUGGUAAGGUAACGGCUUACCAAGGCAACGAUGCGUAGCCGACCUGAGAGGGUGAUCGGCCACACUGGAACUGAGACACGGUCCAGACUCCUACGGGAGGCAGCAGUAGGGAAUCUUCCGCAAUGGGCGAAAGCCUGACGGAGCAACGCCGCGUGAGUGAUGAAGGUCUUCGGAUCGUAAAACUCUGUUAUUAGGGAAGAACAAAUGUGUAAGUAACUAUGCACGUCUUGACGGUACCUAAUCAGAAAGCCACGGCUAACUACGUGCCAGCAGCCGCGGUAAUACGUAGGGGGCAAGCGUUAUCCGGAUUCAUUGGGCGUAAAGCGCUCGUAGGCGGUCUGUUAGGUCGGGAGUUAAAUCCGGGGGCUCAACCCCCGCUCGCUCUCGAUACCGGCAGACUUGAGUUUGGUAGGGGAAGGUGGAAUUCCUAGUGUAGCGGUGGAAUGCGCAGAUAUUAGGAAGAACACCAGUGGCGAAGGCGGCCUUCUGGGCCAUAACUGACGCUGAGGAGCGAAAGCUAGGGGAGCAAACAGGAUUAGAUACCCUGGUAGUCCUAGCCGUAAACGAUGGACACUAGGUGUGGGGGAGUAUUUCUUCCGUGCCGCAGCUAACGCAUUAAGUGUCCCGCCUGGGGAGUACGGCCGCAAGGCUAAAACUCAAAGGAAUUGACGGGGGCCCGCACAAGCAGCGGAGCAUGUGGUUUAAUUCGAAGCAACGCGAAGAACCUUACCAGGGCUUGACAUUUAGGUGAAGCGGCGGAAACGUCGUGGCCGAAAGGAGCCUAAACAGGUGGUGCAUGGCUGUCGUCAGCUCGUGUCGUGAGAUGUUAGGUUAAGUCCUGCAACGAGCGCAACCCUCGUCGUAUGUUGCCAGCGGUUAGGCCGGGCACCCAUACGAGACCGCCGGCGUCAAGCCGGAGGAAGGUGGGGACGACGUCAAGUCAUCAUGCCCCUUAUGUCCUGGGCUACACACGUGCUACAAUGGCCGGCACAAUGGGCUGCCAACCCGCGAGGGUGAGCGAAUCCCUAAAGCCGGUCCCAGUUCGGAUUGGAGGCUGCAACCCGCCUCCAUGAAGUCGGAGUUGCUAGUAAUCGCGGAUCAGCACGCCGCGGUGAAUGCGUUCCCGGGCCU
This 1362-nucleotide ribosomal RNA is filed under the name uncultured bacterium. Its description in RNAcentral is "bacterial SSU rRNA". It matches the Rfam family "Bacterial small subunit ribosomal RNA", at positions 28 to 1381 of the family's 1533-position model. The record is from RNAcentral.